GUAGGGGGGGCAAGCGUUGUCCGGAUUUAUUGGGCGUAAAGGGCUCGUAGGGCGGCUUGGCAAGUCGGGUCGUGAAAUUCCAGGGCUCAACCCCGGAACGCCGAUCGAAACUGCCAUGGCUUGGGUCCGGUAGAGGAGUGUGGAAUUCCCGGUGUAGCGGUGAAAUGCGCAGAUAUCGGGAGGAACACCACUAGCGAAGGCAGCACUCUGGGCCGGUACCGACGCUGAGGAGCGAAAGCGUGGGGAGCGAACAGGAUUAGAUACCCUGGUAGUCCACGCCGUAAACGAUGGGCACUAGGUGUGGCGGAUCGAUUAACGUCCGCCGUACCGUAGCUAACGCAUUAAGUGCCCCGCCUGGGGAGUACGGUCGCAAGGCUA
RNAcentral lists this ribosomal RNA (378 nucleotides) under uncultured organism. Its description in RNAcentral is "partial 16S ribosomal RNA". It matches the Rfam family "Bacterial small subunit ribosomal RNA", at positions 525 to 896 of the family's 1533-position model. The record is from RNAcentral.